AGCUGGCUGAUUUUGCUGUUCAGCGGUUUGAUAAACAGGCUGUUGUUAUUGAGCGUGACGCCACCGGAUGCGCGCACAGGUUCACCAUCCAGCGGAAUAUCCAGAUGUAAGCGACCAUUCACUUCACCGCCAAUCUGCAAUUCCUGUAGCGCCGAGCCCAGCGAGUCAUGCAGCGGUGUAUCCAUGAAAUAGUCGCCGAUAUCUUUACCCUGCCCGCGAAGGUCAGCAUCAAUAAACAGCUUUUCUUUCAGAUAAUCAGGAAUAUUGGCAACGACAUUGUUGCCGUCCACGUUGCCCAGUUUGGUGUGCGCGGCCUUCAUAAACAGGCCGUCAUUGAGGAAAUCAAGAUCGAUAUCCAGAUCGGUCAGCGCUGGCCAGCCUGGCUGGAACGCAAAGGUCGAGUGGCGUAGCGGAACC
This 417-nucleotide non-coding RNA is filed under the name Rahnella aquatilis CIP 78.65 = ATCC 33071. Lineage: Bacteria; Pseudomonadati; Pseudomonadota; Gammaproteobacteria; Enterobacterales; Yersiniaceae. The record is from RNAcentral.